Tachysurus vachellii is the source of this 471-nucleotide long non-coding RNA. RefSeq lists it as uncharacterized. The record is from RefSeq and is a predicted model, not a curated record. Lineage: Eukaryota; Metazoa; Chordata; Actinopteri; Siluriformes; Bagridae. The transcript has 3 exons.
GAAACCGGCAUGGUGUGCUCUCUAUAGUAUCCGUCGCAUCCAUUAAAAGCAUCAUGGAGGCAAUGCCAAUUGCCAGACCAGUGAAGACAGUUUUGCGUCAUCUGAUCGGCUUUUCUAGACCGGACUUUAUAGAGACUGACGGCUCUGAUUGGCCUACUGCUGUUGCUGCAGCCCUACCCCACACCCACACUGAUGGGCGCUAUCCCUGCUGCUGAAGUGCCCUGUUUUCACCAGCGUUAUUGCCUGAGUUGCUGUCUCACCAUCGGUGGCUGUAUGAUGCCUGUUGCUACAGAACACAAUUUAGAACCUAGUUUGCUGGUUAAUUUGCCACAUGUUUAACUUGCUAUUGUUGUGAGAAAAAUAAAAAAAAUAAUGAUUGUUGUAAUAAAACAAUCACAUCUUUUCAGUGCAUGUUAAAUCACAACAGGUUUAAAUCAUUUCAAAACUUAUGAUCAGAAUUUUAGUAUUGGU